RNAcentral lists this ribosomal RNA (459 nucleotides) under uncultured bacterium. RNAcentral describes it as "partial 16S ribosomal RNA". It matches the Rfam family "Bacterial small subunit ribosomal RNA", at positions 338 to 795 of the family's 1533-position model. The record is from RNAcentral.
CCUACGGGGGGCUGCAGUGAGGAAUAUUGGUCAAUGGGCGGAAGCCUGAACCAGCCAAGUAGCGUGCGGGACGAAUGCCCUAUGGGUUGUAAACCGCUUUUGUACGGGGAUAAUACCUUCUACGUGUGGCGUUCUGCAUGUACCUUGUGAAUAAGGGUCGGCUAACUCCGUGCCAGCAGCCGCGGUAAUACGGAGGGUCCGAGCGUUAUCCGGAUUUAUUGGGUUUAAAGGGUGCGUAGGCGGGCGUUCAAGUUAGUGGUAAAAUGUCGGGGCUCAACCGUGCUUUGCCAUUAAUACUGGAAGACUUGAGUUCAGAAGAGGCAGGCGGAAUUCGUGAAGUAGCGGUGAAAUGCAUAGAUAUCACGUAGAACCCCGAUAGCGAAGGCAGCCUACCAGAGUGCGACUGACGCUGAGGCUCGAGAGUGCGGGUAUCGAACAGGAUUAGAUACCCCGGUAGUC